GAUGAAGAACGUAGCGAAAUGCGAUAAGUAGUGUGAAUUGCAGAAUUUAGUGAAUCAUCGAAUCUUUGAACGCACAUUGCGCCCUUUGGUAUUCCUUAGGGCAUGCCUGUUCGAGCGUCAUCUACACCCUCAAGAACAGCUUGGUGAUGGGCGCCUGUCCCGCCCCCCACGGGGGCGCGGACUCGCCUCAAAUGCAUUGGCGGCCGGCGACCUGGCUUCGAGCGCAGCAGAAACGCGUACUCGGGGACCGGGCGCCCGCUCCCAGAAGCCAACCCACCCAGUUUGACCUCGGAUCAGGUAGGGAUACCCGCUGAACUUAAGCAUAUCAAUAAGCGGAGGA
This 340-nucleotide unclassified non-coding RNA is filed under the name soil metagenome. RNAcentral describes it as "partial contains 5.8S ribosomal RNA, internal transcribed spacer 2, and large subunit ribosomal RNA". The stretch from base 1 to 120 matches the Rfam family "5.8S ribosomal RNA", at positions 35 to 154 of the family's 154-position model. The record is from RNAcentral.